UCCAACUCUGGACCUGGACCGUGGAUUGAGGCUGGUGACGUCCAGCACUUUGUCCCUGACCCCCAUGUGUACCCCCAGAAACAUGACUUGACCCCCAGCACUCAGGGCCAGGCGUAUUACAGCCUGCCUGCCCAGCCGUAUUACACAAGUAAGGAUUCGUCCAACUCUGGACCGUGGGUUGAGGCUGGUGACGUCCAACACGUUGUCCCUGCGCCCCACGUGUACCACCAGGAACAGGACUUCACCCCCAUCACUCAGGUCCAGGCGUAUUACAGCCUGCCUGCCCAGCCACAGCCGUAUUAUGCAAGUUGGGAUUCGUCGAGCUCUGGACCGUGGGUUGAGGCUGAUGAUGUCCAGCACCUUGUCCCUGCCCCCAGUGUGUACAACCAGGAACAGGACUUCACCCCCAUCACUCUGGGCCAUGUGUAUUACAGCCUGCCUGCCCAGCCGUAUUACACAAGUAAGGAUUCGUCCAACUCUGGACCGUGGGUUGAGGCUGGUGACGUCCAACACGUUGUCCCUGCGCCCCACGUGUACCACCAGGAACAGGACUUCACCCCCAUCACUCAGGUCCAGGCGUAUUACAGCCUGCCUGCCCAGCUGUAUUACCCCAGCUGGGACACUUUCUCCUGCUCUGGGCCGUUGGUUGAAGCUGGUGACCUGCCACACCCUAUCCCAUCCUCCCACGUGUACCACCAGGAGCAGAUAUUCACUCCCAGCACUCAGGGUCAGAAUAUCUGGGGACCUAGUAGAAGACAUCAGGGCCACAGAUCCAUAGACCAAGUCCCUACGGAG
This is a long non-coding RNA of Ictalurus punctatus (channel catfish), 795 nucleotides long. Lineage: Eukaryota; Metazoa; Chordata; Actinopteri; Siluriformes; Ictaluridae. The record is from Ensembl.